AUUGAACGCUGGCGGCAUGCCUUACACAUGCAAGUCGAACGGCAGCACGGGAGCAAUCCUGGUGGCGAGUGGCGAACGGGUGAGUAAAGUAUCGGAACGUGCCCAGUCGUGGAGGAUAACGUAGCGAAAGUUACGCUAAUACCGCAUACGAUCUAUGGAUGAAAGCGGGGGAUCGCAAGACCUCGCGCGAUUGGAGCGGCCGAUAUCAGAUGAGGUAGUUGGUGGGGUAAAGGCUCACCAAGCCGACGAUCUGUAGCUGGUCUGAGAGGACGACCAGCCAGAAUGGGAAUGAGACACGGCCCAGACUCCUACGGGAGGCAGCAGUGGGGAAUUGUGGACAAUGGGCGAAAGCCGGAUCCAGCCAUGCCGCGUGCAGGAUGAAGGCCUUCGGGUUGUAAACUGCUUUUGUACGGAACGAAAAGGUUUGGCCUAAUAAGCUGAGCUCAUGACGGUACCGUAAGAAUAAGCACCGGCUAACUACGUGCCAGCCGCCGCAGUAA
Molecule: ribosomal RNA, 500 nt
Filed under: uncultured bacterium
Lineage: Bacteria
Description: partial 16S ribosomal RNA
Rfam family: Bacterial small subunit ribosomal RNA
Source: RNAcentral